Lupinus albus (white lupine) is the source of this 117-nucleotide non-coding RNA. NCBI's taxonomy places the organism in Eukaryota, Viridiplantae, Streptophyta, Magnoliopsida, Fabales, Fabaceae. The record is from the annotation of a GenBank genome assembly.
AGCCAUGUGGUGAGCACAAAGCGAACUAUUCUUUCGCCUUUUAUUAAAAAAUACCGUGUGUUCGUCACUCAUUGUGGCAUACACUUAUUUUUGAGUGAGUCUUCCUUUGCAGGACUC